CUGGAGGUAUCAGAAGUGCGAAUGCUGACAUAAGUAACGAUAAAGCGGGUGAAAAGCCCGCUCGCCGGAAGACCAAGGGUUCCUGUCCAACGUUAAUCGGGGCAGGGUGAGUCGACCCCUAAGGCGAGGCCGAAAGGCGUAGUCGAUGGGAAACGGGUUAAUAUUCCCGUACUUGGUGUUACUGCGAAGGGGGGACGGAGAAGGCUAUGUUGGCCGGGCGACGGUUGUCCCGGUUUAAGCGUGUAGGUGUGUGUUCCAGGUAAAUCCGGUUCACUUUAACACUGAGGCGUGAUGACGAGGCACUACGGUGCUGAAGCAACAAAUGCCCUGCUUCCAGGAAAAGCCUCUAAGCAUCAGGUAACAUCAAAUCGUACCCCAAACCGACACAGGUGGUCAGGUAGAGAAUACCAAGGCGCUUGAGAGAACUCGGGUGAAGGAACUAGGCAAAAUGGUGCCGUAACUUCGGGAGAAGGCACGCUGACAU
This 484-nucleotide ribosomal RNA is filed under the name Salmonella enterica. RNAcentral describes it as "partial 23S ribosomal RNA". It matches the Rfam family "Bacterial large subunit ribosomal RNA", at positions 1273 to 1757 of the family's 2925-position model. The record is from RNAcentral. RNAcentral also lists the same sequence under 1 other name. Lineage: Bacteria; Pseudomonadati; Pseudomonadota; Gammaproteobacteria; Enterobacterales; Enterobacteriaceae.